Non-coding RNA from Ailuropoda melanoleuca (giant panda), 70 nucleotides. NCBI's taxonomy places the organism in Eukaryota, Metazoa, Chordata, Mammalia, Carnivora, Ursidae. The record is from Rfam.
UGGACUAAUGAUGAUAGCUGGUGUCUUAUGAAUCAUGGUUGAUGAAUACAUCUCGAACUCCGAGGUCCAA